UUGCGGGGUCGCGACUGGCGUUGAGAUGGAUUCCCAUCGGGGAGCGACUGGCGAGUAUCGACCGCACGCCUGGGCCGGUACG
This 82-nucleotide non-coding RNA is filed under the name Agromyces sp. RNAcentral's name for it is "ZTP sequence". It matches the Rfam family "ZMP/ZTP riboswitch aptamer (pfl RNA motif)". Rfam says of the family: Previously known as pfl RNA. ZMP is also known as AICAR. Lineage: Bacteria; Bacillati; Actinomycetota; Actinomycetes; Micrococcales; Microbacteriaceae. The record is from RNAcentral.